AUAUCGAUAAAGAACAUAGCGAAAUGCGAUACUUGGUGUGAAUUGCAGAAUCCCGUGAACCAUCGAGUCUUUGAACACAACUUGAGCCCGAAGCCAUUUGGCCGAGGGCACAUCUGCCUGGGUGUCA
RNAcentral lists this ribosomal RNA (127 nucleotides) under Solanum lycopersicum (tomato). RNAcentral's name for it is "5.8S ribosomal RNA". It matches the Rfam family "5.8S ribosomal RNA", at positions 30 to 154 of the family's 154-position model. Rfam says of the family: 5.8S ribosomal RNA (5.8S rRNA) is a component of the large subunit of the eukaryotic ribosome. It is transcribed by RNA polymerase I as part of the 45S precursor that also contains 18S and 28S rRNA. Functionally, it is thought that 5.8S rRNA may be involved in ribosome translocation. Lineage: Eukaryota; Viridiplantae; Streptophyta; Magnoliopsida; Solanales; Solanaceae. The record is from Rfam by way of RNAcentral.